GCAUGUGCCUGUGCAUCCAGACCCGGGGGACGCGCUCACAGGAUCGCGGAACCGGUGUGCUCCGGGCUGGAACCGCUAAAACGCUCCGAAGCUGGCUUCGUGUUUUCCCCGCCAACCGGGUAGCACGCGGCGAGAUCAAUAGGCUGGACACGCACGUAGAUCCUGUAGCGUAGGGCUUGCGGACGCGGGUUCGAUUCCCGCCGCCUCCACCA
Molecule: transfer-messenger RNA, 212 nt
Filed under: Pseudomonadota bacterium
Lineage: Bacteria; Pseudomonadati; Pseudomonadota
Description: partial transfer-messenger RNA
Rfam family: transfer-messenger RNA
About the family: Bacterial tmRNA, also known as 10Sa RNA or SsrA, is named for its dual tRNA and mRNA-like properties. Its role is to liberate the mRNA from a stalled ribosome.
Source: RNAcentral